Molecule: ribosomal RNA, 497 nt
Filed under: uncultured bacterium
Lineage: Bacteria
Description: partial 16S ribosomal RNA
Rfam family: Bacterial small subunit ribosomal RNA
Source: RNAcentral
GACGAACGCUGGCGGCGUGCCUAAUACAUGCAAGUUGAGCGAUGAAGAUUGGUGCUUGCACCAAUUUGAAGAGCAGCGAACGGGUGAGUAACGCGUGGGGAAUCUGCCUUUGAGCGGGGGACAACAUUUGGAAACGAAUGCUAAUACCGCAUAACAACUUUAAACAUAAGUUUUAAGUUUGAAAGAUGCAAUUGCAUCACUCAAAGAUGAUCCCGCGUUGUAUUAGCUAGUUGGUGAGGUAAAGGCUCACCAAGGCGAUGAUACAUAGCCUACCUGAGAGGGUGGUCGGCCACAUUGGGACUGAGACACGGCCCAAACUCCUACGGGAGGCAGCAGUAGGGAAUCUUCGGCAAUGGACGAAAGUCUGACCGAGCAACGCCGCGUGAGUGAAGAAGGUUUUCGGAUCGUAAAACUCUGUUGGUAGAGAAGAACGUUGGUGAGAGUGGAAAGCUCAUCAAGUGACGGUAACUACACAGAAAGGGACGGCUAACUACGUG